Molecule: long non-coding RNA, 214 nt
Filed under: Elaeis guineensis (African oil palm)
Lineage: Eukaryota; Viridiplantae; Streptophyta; Magnoliopsida; Arecales; Arecaceae
Description: long non-coding RNA (EGUI_LNC034718)
Source: RNAcentral
GGCAACUAACAAUUCUUUCUCUAUAAUUAGAUCUAGGUUUGACUUAAGUAUUGGUUGAGGUUCUAAGGGACCUAGAUCUAUAUACUUGAGGUGCUGAGGGAGUGUUUCUGGAUCCCUUAUUAUUGCCUCUUCUUUUUUAGGCAAAGGUUUAACCAGUAUCAUGAGAAGUUCAACUAGUAAUUCUGAUCUUGGUUAAGUAUAAUGGUCACUAGGU